Molecule: ribosomal RNA, 766 nt
Filed under: uncultured bacterium
Lineage: Bacteria
Description: bacterial SSU rRNA
Rfam family: Bacterial small subunit ribosomal RNA
Source: RNAcentral
AGAGUUUGAUCAUGGCUCAGGACGAACGCUGGCGGCGUGCUUAACACAUGCAAGUCGAGCGGAAAGGCCCUUCGGGGUACUCGAGCGGCGAACGGGUGAGUAACACGUGAGCAAUCUGCCCCUAGCAUCGGGAUAGCUCCGGGAAACCGGAAUUAAUACCGAAUACGACUACGGCUGACAUCGGCCGUGGUGGAAAGCUUUUGCGGCUAGGGAUGAGCUCGCGGCCUAUCAGCUUGUUGGUGGGGUAACGGCCUACCAAGGCGACGACGGGUAGCCGGCCUGAGAGGGCGACCGGCCACACUGGGACUGAGACACGGCCCAGACUCCUACGGGAGGCAGCAGUGGGGAAUCUUGCGCAAUGGGCGAAAGCCUGACGCAGCGACGCCGCGUGCGGGAUGAAGGCCUUCGGGUUGUAAACCGCUUUCAGCAGGGACGAAAACGACGGUACCUGCAGAAGAAGCGCCGGCUAACUACGUGCCAGCAGCCGCGGUAACACGUAGGGCGCAAGCGUUGUCCGGAAUUAUUGGGCGUAAAGAGCUCGUAGGUGGUCCGCUACGUCCGCUGUGAAAAUCCAGGGCUUAACCCUGGACUUGCAGUGGAUACGGGCGAACUAGAGGUAGGUAGGGGAGAAUGGAAUUCCCGGUGUAGCGGUGAAAUGCGCAGAUAUCGGGAGGAACACCGGUGGCGAAGGCGGUUCUCUGGGCCUUACCUGACACUGAGGAGCGAAAGCGUGGGGAGCGAACAGGAUUAGAUACCCUCGUAGUCC